AGAACACCUGGCAAUGCCCAUAGGGACUCAGAUGAGAAGGCAGCUGGACCAGAAGUAAACAGAAGCACAAAACCACGGAAUUGUAGUGACACUGUCAUCACUGAAUUUCAGCAGAAGUGUGGCGCAUCCCAGGAUAGAUUCCACCACAGUGGAAGCACAGCCCUCAGGAUUCCCUAGGGUUACUCUUGAACACGUGGAACCCAGGCUUCAGCUCUUCCUGUUGGUUUGGUCGCUGGCUCAACUUAAUUCUCCCAGCAAGCAGUGAUUGUUGUUCAGUAACAGAAGAAAUCGGCCAUACUAGCUGCCUUCCUGACUCCAUGAUUUUGUUCUUUGUGUGUGUGGCUGGCAACAGUUUAAGAAAACUUCCAGAAUUGCUACAGCGUCUUAUGUUCAAGCAACUACCUUGGUGGGAAGGGAUGGACAGCUUGGGUUACCCAGACAAGACCGGACCAAGAGUAAAUAGAAUGGGUUGAGAAGGCUCAGUGACAACACAGGCAGGGAAAUGUAUGGACACAGGCAUGUGGGUAAUAUCACUCACCUGGAAAUGCGGAGACUGACACACAUCCAGAUUUGAGCAGACUCUCACACCUCCUCUCUGUGAUGAAGAUUACCUCACUGUUUUGGGAGCGUCAGCCUCCUAAAAGAAGGAAUUCUCAGCCAGAGAAACAAUGGACAUACCUGACAGUAUAUUGCUGUCAUUUAAAAUUCAUCAGAUGUGCUCUAAGUUGUUUGCUGCAUAAGUAAUUUUACAGGCAGAAUCUUUUUAAAGGUGUGACAGACCCACGUAUUUUUGUAGCAAGCUCCUGUAUUCGCUGCAUCACCUUCAACUUCAUCCCUCGGGAUGUCUGAAGGAAAACUCAUUGCUAAUUGCUAAAUGUCUCUUAAAAUAACAGCCUAUUCUCUGAAAUUGCUACCAAUAAUAAGAAGUUAAAAAAUAGAUCGCUAUCCCUCACUCCACUCGAUUUUUACCUCUUCUGCCCUGCUCAUUAAGGAAAUUAGUCAACAUUGGCCAUCUCAGCUUGAAAAUGGGCACAGGACCAGAACCUGAAUCCUAAUUCAUACUGCGCCAUUCAUUCUUCAGCAACAAGAGUCCUACCUUGUGUCAGAUGAAGUAAAACAUGGGCUGUCUUUUGGAUGUGUCCCAUAGGCUUCUGAAGGCCACAGCAACAGUUAAAUUUUAGCAUACUGUAAAUACCAAGGUUCUUCUUGGUUACAUUUCUUGGUGUACAAUG
Molecule: non-coding RNA, 1232 nt
Organism: Phasianus colchicus (ring-necked pheasant)
Lineage: Eukaryota; Metazoa; Chordata; Aves; Galliformes; Phasianidae
Source: RefSeq, a predicted model, not a curated record